GGGAAGAAUCAUGGGAAAGAGAGACGGGGUUCCACCGUGUUAGCCAGGAUGGUCUCGAUCUCCUGACCUCGUCAUCCUCCCGCCUUGGCCUCCCAAAGUGCUGGGAUUACAGGCUUGAGCCACCGCGCCCCGCUCUUUCGUGUUCCAAAGGCUUUUUAAAUAAACUUCCACUCCUGUCCUGGAUUCUGCUUUAUGGCCCUCAGUCGAAUUCUUUCUUCUGAGGAGGCAAGGACUGAAGUUGCUUCUGACCAGUACAGGUACGCCGCAGGAGAAAACGAAUACAGCAGGGAUGACUUCCACCAGCUCCACUUUGCAGCUCUGAGGUGUAUUAAAAAUGACCUGGAAGAAGUCAUGCCACGGGCCAGACCUUAACAUUCCUUUCGGCUUACCCCAGGAUUUCAGACGAAGCUUCACUUUCCUAACCAGUCACAAAUCAGAGAAUUUUUGAUUCCACCUAUGACCUGUGAGCUCCUGCUUCAAGAUAUUCCACCUUUUUUAGGCCAAACCAAUGUAUAACCUCCAAGUGUCGAUUUACACUUUCGACUGUAACUUCUGCUUUCCUGAGAUUUACCCCUGCCUUUAAAAACCCUUGCUUGUAAUCCCUCAGGGAGGCCGUGUAUUUAUUAAUCAUGAGCUGCCCAAUUCUCCUUGCUUGGUGCCCUGCAAAUAAACACCCUCUUUUCUCCCACUGCAAAA
RNAcentral lists this small RNA (696 nucleotides) under Homo sapiens (human). Its description in RNAcentral is "PPP1R3B divergent transcript (ENSG00000285236.3)". Lineage: Eukaryota; Metazoa; Chordata; Mammalia; Primates; Hominidae. The record is from RNAcentral.